AGAGUUUGAUCCUGGCUCAGGAUGAACGCUAGCUACAGGCUUAACACAUGCAAGUCGAGGGGAAACGAUAUUGGAAGCUUGCUUCCGAUAGGCGUCGACCGGCGUACGGGUGAGUAACGCGUAUCCAACCUGCCCACCACUUGGGGAUAACCUUGCGAAAGUAAGACUAAUACCCAAUGAUAUCUCUAGAAGACAUCUGAAAGAGAUUAAAGAUUUAUCGGUGAUGGAUGGGGAUGCGUCUGAUUAGCUUGUUGGCGGGGUAACGGCCCACCAAGGCAACGAUCAGUAGGGGUUCUGAGAGGAAGGUCCCCCACACUGGUACUGAGACACGGACCAGACUCCUACGGGAGGCAGCA
This 356-nucleotide ribosomal RNA is filed under the name uncultured bacterium. Its description in RNAcentral is "bacterial SSU rRNA". It matches the Rfam family "Bacterial small subunit ribosomal RNA", at positions 8 to 353 of the family's 1533-position model. The record is from RNAcentral.